RNAcentral lists this ribozyme (75 nucleotides) under unclassified sequences. Its description in RNAcentral is "HDV ribozyme from F. prausnitzii". It matches the Rfam family "HDV ribozyme from F. prausnitzii". The record is from RNAcentral.
GCCGCUCAUAAAGACAGCCUCCUCGCGGCGAGCGGCGGUAACACGGGUAUUGAGCUCCCCGUGGCAAAUGUCUUU